GGGCAUGUAGUGUAGGGGUUAUCGCGUCCGCUUCGCAUAUUUCAAUGCUUUGCGGAAGGUCUCCGGUUCAAUUCCGGACUUGUCCA
Non-coding RNA from Gymnopus androsaceus JB14, 86 nucleotides. Lineage: Eukaryota; Fungi; Basidiomycota; Agaricomycetes; Agaricales; Omphalotaceae. The record is from the annotation of a GenBank genome assembly.